Callorhinchus milii (elephant shark) is the source of this 401-nucleotide long non-coding RNA. RefSeq lists it as uncharacterized. Lineage: Eukaryota; Metazoa; Chordata; Chondrichthyes; Chimaeriformes; Callorhinchidae. The record is from RefSeq and is a predicted model, not a curated record. The transcript has 4 exons.
GAGAGAGGGAGGCAGUUCAAGGAGAGGAGCUUUGCAAUUUAUUCAGCUGCCAGAGUGCAAGGAAGGCUCAAAAUGUUUAACACUGAUGGUCUAGCACCUGAGCUGGGGGUGGAAGCUAAAGGGAAGAGGAAAGAUGGCCGAAAGCGAUGUCAAAGAGGGCACAUCACUACACACAGACUUCACGGUAAUAGUUGGUGUACGGUCUACUUCAGAAAGGAAGGGAACAGAAUUGGGCAGCAUCAUGUGAGAAGAGACUCAAACGUACCACACUGCACUCUGCCCUGGAUAAAUGCAUAAUCUACUGACAGAGAGUCAGUUUUCCUCUUAACCACCCACAGUCACUACCACAAGCAAGAUGGAAAGCAAAGACCCUCUACAUUUGAUCCCAAAUUCAAUCAAAG